UUGUGUGUUUGAUUUUGGUAUUGAUCUUUCCGUUGUCUGUUUUUUGUUUGCUUGUUUGCUGUUGUUGUUGUUGUAGGUCUCAAGGAAUCCAACCCAGGGCCUCUAGCAUGCUAAGCAGUAAGUACAAGUUCUAUCAUGGUUGAGCUGUUCCCCAUCCUCUGGCCAUCACUUUUUUUUUUUUUUCCUAUGGACCUCUAGUUCUGGCUGAGGAAGAAGGAAUGGAGCAGUUUUGGGAGAGGGGGGAGAAGAAGGAAGGUCAGAACUUGUUUGUGGUUUGUUGUUGUUGUUACUAGGACUUGACAAAGGGACACUUUGCCACAGAGUCACUUCCCCAGCUCUUUUUUAUUAUUUAUUUAUAUAUUUAUUAUUUACUUUGAAACAAGUUCUCACUGAGUUAUGUGGAGCCUUACUCAAUUACUGAAGAUGGCCUUGAACUUGGAGAUCUUCCCAUCUUUCUCAGCCAUCAGAGUCUCUAGGAUGAUAGAAGAAAUGGGCCACCAUGCCUGAUCUUUUGUUAUCUUACACUCCGUGCUAGAAGCAAUGAAUGGAGAGACACUACUUUCACCACUGGUUGAGAUGUUUCAGUGUUGUGAAGACAGGAAAAUAAUCAAAGAUGUGGAUGUUAGUGAUAGUGGUAAUAUAUGGUCGGUGGUGGUUACUUAGGAACAAGAACCAAGGAGCCUGAGCAUGGGAAAGAAACACCUGUCAAUCAGCAGAGUCUUCUGGCCAAUCCUGGAUUUCAUCCAGUUUCACCAACCAACUUUACCAGGAUAAGAGACUCUAAAAACACCUUUUCCUGUCCCAAGCCCUUCCCUUCCUGCCUUAAGCCCCAUAAACUUCCAGUCCCAUGGAGCUCCCACCCGUUUUCUCCUGUGACUCUUCUCCUGUUUACUCUGUCUGUCUGAUCAAGUUCUGCCCUGGAGCAUCAUCUCAAAUAAAGCCUCAUUCAGCGGCCUUUUAAAAUCUGUCUCCUUUGGUCAACAUCCAUUGCUGGACCUCACACCCUCCCCUACCAGAAAAAAUAAAAUAAAAUCACAAAGCAUUGAGAGGGCCUGCUAGGGGUGUUAACUCCAUGUGAUUUCUGCCCAGUCCUCUGAAUUUCAAAGUGAAGAAAUUCAGUGAAGUGCAGUUAAACGGAGGGAGUAACUAUGAUUCUCUUAAGGCCCUCAAAUGCCUCCUCUUCUAAUUAGUGAUGCAUGAAUAGAUGAAAAAGAUUCCCAGUUUCUCUAUGUACUAUCCAGCAAAACCACAGCUAAAGGAAUGGGCUCUGCAGACCCAGUGAGGAAAGAACUAUAGAAACAAAGAACCAGAAAGAAGCCCAGCUUGCCCCCCAUGCCCCCCAAAGGGCUCCAUUUUUUCUUCCUCAGCCAGAGCUGGAAGUCCAAAGAACAAUAACAACAAUAACAAAACAAACAAUCAAAAAUAACAACAACAAAAACAGGACAGCCAGCAGUGUUGGAAACAGCACAGUCAUGGUAGAGCUUAAAGGAGCUUAGUGUGCCAGAUCCCCUGGGUUGGUUUCUUUGGGACCUACAACAAAGAAACUAAAGAAACACCAAUCCACCCUGCCCCCAAGGAAAAGAAAACGAACCACAGUAGAUGCAUUGCAUUCUCCUCCCUUAAUGGACUAUCUAGUACCACAGAUUUUGAACUCAGCUCUUCUCCUGAAAGGAAAUGAUAAAGCUUGGUUUAGUGGCAGAAGCCUGUCGCUGGAGGAAAGUCCACUUGAGAUGAAUUCGUGACCCAACCACAUAGAGACCCCAGUGUACAAACAAGGCAACAUGCCAGCUUAAAGUUCAAAGGAAGAUCAGAUUGUUUUUAAUGACUUGAAGGCUUAUUCUCUCAUGUAUUACUCUUCAUCUCUGAUCAGUUCUUGGGAGACCCAAAGUAUCAGGAGGUGGGGGUGUGGUUGUCACUUAAUAGUAGAGUACUUGCCUAGCACGUGUGAGGCACUGGGUUUGAUUCUCAGCACCAUGUAAGAAUAAAUAAGACAAAAUUAUUGUGUCCAUGUGAUAGUAGGAGCAAAUGUGACUCCAUUUGUUUUAUGACUUCAUCCUGUAAAACAACCAUGCCAAGUAGAAGAGCCAUGACUGGGGCAAGAUGUUUUCCUUUUGCUAUAGAAAUCUUUAAGAACACAAAACUACUUAAUGGGGUAUUGUUUAUGUAACUAUUGGGGUAUUGUUUAUGUAACUAGGGUAACGGGGCUCUGUUUCUGUAACUGGGGUGACUGGGCUAACUGUGAUUGUUUAGGUUUCCCUCCACUUGACUGCAUUCUCCUGCUUCUGUAACCUGGCUUGCUUGCAUUGGCUGGACCCCCUGAACAUCCCUUUUGCAGUUUUCAGGCUUAUAAGGAGUGCCCUUGCAAUUGUUCGGGGCUGAUCAGGGGAAUGGCUUUAUGUUCUGGUCAGCUGCCAGCAGUGUGCUUCAAUUAAGGCUUGAUUCGAUUAUAUGUGAGUGGUCUGGAAGUCAGUUUAUGAAACCCUGAGAUGAAGCUUUAACUAUAACAUCCAUCUCUAACUAAAAAUAAAUAAAUUAAUAAAUAAAUAAUUUAAGGUUUGAGGAGGUGGGAGAUGGACCCUUAGAGUUGCAAGAGGGGAUGGGAAGGUAGGUCAGUGGUACAGCUACCUAAAGUAGGCUAGACUUGCAUGUCAGGUGGGUUCUGAUUUCAGUUCAAUCCAUUACCAGGAUGGAUUUUUUUUUAAAGUUUUUUUUUUUAAGACUCCUAAGAUUUUCAGUGUGGCUUGUGAGGACCACAUAGUCCAGUUAGAGCUUUCUUUUACUAGAGGAGUUGAAGAUAAAAAUUAAGUAAGGAAGAAUAAGCCUAAAGUCUCAGUAAAAUAGAGAGGGAGAGAAAGGGUGAGAAGUGAGUGAAAGAAAAAGAGAGAAAGUGAGAAACCAGCCUCUACCUCAGAGCAAAGCCUGUCCAAGGAAGGGGGCCUGACCCUUGUCCUUGGAAAGAUCCACAUAGCACUCCUAGGCACAUACCCACCCUGCUGAGUUGUUUAUCUACAAAUAACAGGAGAGAUCUGCUGCACCAGGUGUCCCUGACUCAGUCAGGCUAGGUGAGGACCCAUAGGAACCCCUAGCAAACACCAAUCAGCGUGAGACAGGGAAAAUACCUGGGAUGUCAAAUGACCACCCCCAGUUGUUUAUGGUGGUUGAUAACAUUUUAGGAAACCAUUUAUUUCAGUACAUACUCCCCCUUGUGGCUUAAACCAAUCAGUUCAAAUGAAUCCCCUCUUAUACUCACCAAUCACCCUUACCCAAGUUUUCCCUGCCACUGAAUGUGAUAAUCAGUGUUAAGUGUUGUCCUUUGAAUUUUCCCGUAGUGUGUGAUGAUUUGCUAAGAGAUGCUAUGAUAUAUGUGACAUCCCUGCCUUCCCCAAAGAGUGUACAAAACUGCUGCAAACCCUGCCUCGGGCCUCUCUGUAUCACCAGUUGCUCUGUAUGCGUGGAGGACUGAGCAAGCUUGCAAUAAACACCUCUUUGCUGAUGACAUCGAUUUUGGUCUCUGGUGGUCUCUUGGGGGUCCUGAAUUCGAGCAUAAGAAGAGAAAUUUCCUAAACCACAAAACCCAGUGCAUAUCUUAGACU
Molecule: long non-coding RNA, 3593 nt
Organism: Ictidomys tridecemlineatus (thirteen-lined ground squirrel)
Lineage: Eukaryota; Metazoa; Chordata; Mammalia; Rodentia; Sciuridae
Source: Ensembl